AGGAUUCCCCUAGUAACUGCGAGUGAAGCGGGAAAAGCUCAAAUUUAAAAUCUGGCAGUCUCUGGCUGUCCGAGUUGUAAUCUAGAGAAGUAAUGCCCGUGCUGGACCGUGUAUAAGUCUCCUGGGAUGGGGCGUCAUAGAGGGUGAGAAUCCCGUCUUUGACACGGACUACCAGUGCAUUGUGGUAUGCUCUCAAAGAGUCGAGUUGUUUGGGAAUGCAGCUCAAAAUGGGUGGUAAAUUCCAUCUAAAGCUAAAUAUUGGCGAGAGACCGAUAGCGAACAAGUACCGUGAGGGAAAGAUGAAAAGAACUUUGGAAAGAGAGUUAAACAGUACGUGAAAUUGCUGAAAGGGAAACGCUUGAAGUCAGUCGCGUUGGCCGGGAAUCAGCCUUGCUUUUGCAUGGUGUACUUUCUGGUUGACGGGUCAGCAUCAAUUUUGACCGCUGGAAAAAGGCCUGGGGAAUGUGGCAGCUCCGGCUGUGUUAUAGCCCCUAGUCGCAUACAGUGGUURGGAUUGAGGAACUCAGCACGCCGCAAGGCCGGGUUUCGACCACGUUCGUGCUUAGGAUGCUGGCAUAAUGGCUUUAAGCGACCCGUCUUGAAACACGGACCAAGGAGUCUAACAUGCCUGCGAGUAUUUGGGUGGAAAACCCAAGUGCGCAAUGAAAGUGAAAGUUGAGAUCCCUGUCGUGGGGAGCAUCGACGCCCGGACCAGAACUUUUGGGACGGAUCCGCGGUGGAGCAUGUAUGUUGGGACCCGAAAGAUGGUGAACUAUGCCUGAAUAGGGUGAAGCCAGAGGAAACUCUGGUGGAGGCUCGUAGCGAUUCUGACGUGCAAAUCGAUCGUCAAAUUUGGGUAUAGGGGCGAAA
RNAcentral lists this ribosomal RNA (870 nucleotides) under Agaricus sp. CA848. RNAcentral describes it as "eukaryotic LSU rRNA". It matches the Rfam family "Eukaryotic large subunit ribosomal RNA", at positions 71 to 928 of the family's 3401-position model. Lineage: Eukaryota; Fungi; Basidiomycota; Agaricomycetes; Agaricales; Agaricaceae. The record is from RNAcentral.